RNAcentral lists this ribosomal RNA (549 nucleotides) under uncultured archaeon. RNAcentral describes it as "bacterial SSU rRNA". It matches the Rfam family "Archaeal small subunit ribosomal RNA", at positions 98 to 652 of the family's 1478-position model. The record is from RNAcentral.
ACGUGGAUAAUCUGCCCUCAGAUGAAGAAUAAUCCCGGGAAACUGGGGCUAAUGCUUCAUAGGAGACGGGUGCUGGAAUGCUCUGUCUCUGAAAGGUCCGCCGUCUGAGGAUGAGUCUGCGUCCGAUUAGGUUGUUGUUGGGGUAACGGCCCACCAAGCCUUUGAUCGGUACGGGUUGUGGGAGCAAGAGCCCGGAGAUGGAUUCUGAGACAUGAAUCCAGGCCCUACGGGGCGCAGCAGGCGCGAAAACUUUACAAUGCGAGCAAUCGUGAUAAGGAAACCCUGAGUGCCUGUUAUCGCAGGCUGUUCUGGUGUCUAACACACACCAGGAGAAAGGGCGGGGCAAGACCGGUGCCAGCCGCCGCGGUAAUACCGGCUGCUCGAGUGAUAGCCACUUUUACUGGGCUUAAAGCGUUCGUAGCUUGGUCGUUAAGUCUCUGGGGAAAUCUUUUGGCUCAACCAAAAGGCGUCUCAGGGAAACUGGCGACCUAGGAACCGGGAGAGGUAAGACGUACUUCGGGGGUAGGAGUGAAAUCUUGUAAUCCCCGA